AAGGCAAAGCUCAUCGGUACCUUGCAACCUUGCCAAGGUUGAAGUCGAGGGUUCGAAUCCCUUCGCC
Molecule: transfer RNA, 67 nt
Filed under: Alphaproteobacteria bacterium
Lineage: Bacteria; Pseudomonadati; Pseudomonadota; Alphaproteobacteria
Description: tRNA-Gly
Source: RNAcentral